CCAUUUAGGUCCAGUAAUUUUGACUGUAGUCAGUAAAGAUUUUAAAGCCUGCAGGCCCUGCUGGAAGGAGACCUGCUCGAUUCCUCUGGAAGGCUAGUCACAUUACGCGCUUGCAGGCUGCAAACCCAGCUUGAUAAAGUUCAGCGUCACCAACAUUAUACAGAAUGUGAAAUAUAUUGUACCUUGUCAACUCCCCAGAACCAUAAAACUAACUUUAACGACCCCACGUGACUUUUGAGAGCCAGUAGGGGUAUCUGCCUGCGGUAUGGGCGAUUUUUACGAUCUAACUUUGCGAUAAAUACCCAAUUCAUUUGACAUCCCAAUGUCAUACCGGCUUCUUGCAUAAGCAGUUUGUUAGACUCACAAGGGGAGCAUGCACUUUGCAAGAUAGAACUAAUAUUUGCUGUGUAACUUUUCUACUAUCGAUAAGCCCUUGGACGUUCUUUUGAGCGCAAUGUACUCGGAUACCCGGUGAAGAAUUGGGAAUAAAAAUGCAUCGAUACUUAGUAGCAAAGUUGCUCAUCGGCGCAUCGAUAAUGUUACAAUCCUCCACGCCAGGAUUUGCGCCAGCCGACUCCGUUUAUCAGCGCUCCGAGUUUAAAUCGGAGAAUAUUUCCUCUUGUCUGAAGGAUUGAGAUUUCAACGAGGGAAACGAUCGCACUAGAAGCCCGAAUUAGGACUUGCGCACGUUAUAUAAAAUGCAUCGUGCGAGAUAUGUUACAAUUGGGAAAUCCAGUGAAAUGCAUCAAUUUGAUAUCCGACCCCCAAACCCAGUCCUAUUGUCUGCUGUGUGUAUAUUAACCUUUAUUUAGGACGCUGCUAUAUUUACGGUUCGCACAUACAGACACCAACACACGCAAAAUAAACUUUCUAUAUGCGCCAGUACGUCUGUUGCAUUAAAAUGCCCUUUUUCUGCUUAAGUAAUGCCCGCGGAGAGUGAGAAUUUCAGAUUGUAUGUUAUAUAUAUUCUCUGAUAAUAAAUUGAACUAUUAAACCAU
This is a long non-coding RNA of Hypanus sabinus (Atlantic stingray), 998 nucleotides long. RefSeq lists it as uncharacterized. The record is from RefSeq and is a predicted model, not a curated record. The transcript has 2 exons. Lineage: Eukaryota; Metazoa; Chordata; Chondrichthyes; Myliobatiformes; Dasyatidae.